RNAcentral lists this transfer RNA (72 nucleotides) under Camelus bactrianus (Bactrian camel). It matches the Rfam family "tRNA". From Rfam's summary of the family: Transfer RNA (tRNA) molecules are approximately 80 nucleotides in length. Their secondary structure includes four short double-helical elements and three loops (D, anti-codon, and T loops). Lineage: Eukaryota; Metazoa; Chordata; Mammalia; Artiodactyla; Camelidae. RNAcentral also lists the same sequence under 2 other names. The record is from Rfam by way of RNAcentral.
GAGGGUGUAGCUCAGUGGUAGUGCACAAGGCCAGCAAGCACAAGGUCCUGGGUUCAAUCCCCAGUACCUCCA